AACGAACGCUGGCGGCAUGCCUAACACAUGCAAGUCGAACGAGACCUUCGGGUCUAGUGGCGCACGGGUGCGUAACGCGUGGGAACCUGCCCUUAGGUUCGGAAUAACUCCCCGAAAGGGGUGCUAAUACCGGAUAAUGUCUUCGGACCAAAGAUUUAUCGCCUUUGGAUGGGCCCGCGUUGGAUUAACUAGUUGGUAGGGUAAAAGCCUACCAAGGCGACGAUCCAUAGCUGGUCUGAGAGGAUGAUCAGCCACACUGGGACUGAGACACGGCCCAGACUCCUACGGGAAGCAGCAGUGGGGAAUAUUGGACAAUGGGCGAAAGCCUGAUCCAGCAAUGCCGCGUGAGUGAUGAAGGCCUUAGGGUUGUAAAGCUCUUUUACCCGGGAUGAUAAUGACAGUACCGGGAGAAUAAGCUCCGGCUAACUCCGUG
RNAcentral lists this ribosomal RNA (433 nucleotides) under uncultured bacterium. RNAcentral describes it as "partial 16S ribosomal RNA". It matches the Rfam family "Bacterial small subunit ribosomal RNA", at positions 29 to 507 of the family's 1533-position model. The record is from RNAcentral.